This 200-nucleotide unclassified non-coding RNA is filed under the name Tomentella sp. Its description in RNAcentral is "partial internal transcribed spacer 2". The record is from RNAcentral. Lineage: Eukaryota; Fungi; Basidiomycota; Agaricomycetes; Thelephorales; Thelephoraceae.
UUAAGUUCAGCGGGUAGUCCUACCUGAUUUGAGAUCGAACGUUCAAAGGCUGUCUUCACUAGGGAGAGACAUUUAUAAGCUCCAGCGAACCCCCAUCACUGGAGGUCAUUUGGAGACGACCACGAGCGUAGAUAGUUAUCACACCCAUGAUGCCACCAAACACCGGUAAGCUGAUACAUUUGAGAGGAGCUGACCAGAAG